RNAcentral lists this transfer RNA (52 nucleotides) under Neoscona adianta. RNAcentral describes it as "tRNA-Ala". Lineage: Eukaryota; Metazoa; Arthropoda; Arachnida; Araneae; Araneidae. The record is from RNAcentral.
UUUUAGUUUAAAAUUGAUUUGCAAUCAAUUAAUAUGUUAAGCAUACUAGAAU